CCAACAAAGGCCUUUACUGACGCUAAAGCUCGAAGGUGCGGGUAUCGAAACAGGAUUAGAUACCCCUGGUAGUCCGCACGGUAAACGAUGGAUGCCCGCUGUUUGCGAUAUACUGUGAGCGGCCAAGAGAAAAUCGUUAAGCAUCCCACCUGGGGAGUACGCCGGCAACGGUGAAACUCAAAGGAAUUGACGGGGGCCCGCACAAGCGGAGGAACAUGUGGUUUAAUUCGAUGAUACGCGAGGAACCUUACCCGGGCUUGAACUGCAGGCGAACGAUACAGAGAUGUUGAGGCCCUUCGGGGCGCCUGUGGAGGUGCUGCAUGGUUGUCGUCAGCUCGUGCCGUGAGGUGUCGGCUUAAGUGCCAUAACGAGCGCAACCCUUUUCAUUAGUUGCCAUCAGGUAAUGCUGGGCACUCUGGUGAUACUGCCACCGUAAGGUGUGAGGAAGGUGGGGAUGACGUCAAAUCAGCACGGCCCUAACUUCCGGGCGGACACACGUGUUACAAUGGGAGGUCAAGAGAGUCGGUCCAUGGCAAUAACCUCUAUCCUAAAGCCUUCCUCAGUUCGGAUUCGACCUGCAACCACCCCAUCAGCGGAUCG
RNAcentral lists this ribosomal RNA (600 nucleotides) under uncultured bacterium. RNAcentral describes it as "bacterial SSU rRNA". It matches the Rfam family "Bacterial small subunit ribosomal RNA", at positions 724 to 1334 of the family's 1533-position model. The record is from RNAcentral.